This is a non-coding RNA of Oryza nivara, 207 nucleotides long. The record is from Rfam. NCBI's taxonomy places the organism in Eukaryota, Viridiplantae, Streptophyta, Magnoliopsida, Poales, Poaceae.
ACUCAGCGCAGAUGUGGGUUUCAGUGUCCAACUUUGACUAUCUGUCUUAUUUUAAAAAUUUCUAUUAUUACUAUUUUUAUUGUUAUUUGAUAAUAAAAUAUAAAGAGUACUUUAUGUGUGACUUAAUUUUUUUUUAAAAUUUCAUAAAUUUUUCAAAUAAGACGGACGGUCAAACGUUAGACAUGAAAACUUAUGGCUGCACUGAAA